CCUACGGGGUGCUGCAGUGGGGAAUAUUGGACAAUGGGCGAAAGCCUGAUCCAGCCAUGCCGCGUGUGUGAAGAAGGCCUUCGGGUUGUAAAGCACUUUCAGUGGGGAAGAAAGCCUUGGGGCUAAUACCCUCGAGGAAGGACAUCACCCACAGAAGAAGCACCGGCUAACUCCGUGCCAGCAGCCGCGGUAAUACGGAGGGUGCGAGCGUUAAUCGGAAUUACUGGGCAUAAAGCGCGCGUAGGCGGUCUGAUAAGCCGGUUGUGAAAGCCCCGGGCUCAACCUGGGAACGGCAUCCGGAACUGUCAGGCUAGAGUGCAGGAGAGGAAGGUAGAAUUCCCGGUGUAGCGGUGAAAUGCGUAGAGAUCGGGAGGAAUACCAGUGGCGAAGGCGGCCUUCUGGACUGACACUGACGCUGAGGUGCGAAAGCGUGGGUAGCAAACAGGAUUAGAUACCCGGGUAGUC
Molecule: ribosomal RNA, 465 nt
Filed under: Vreelandella stevensii
Lineage: Bacteria; Pseudomonadati; Pseudomonadota; Gammaproteobacteria; Oceanospirillales; Halomonadaceae
Description: partial 16S ribosomal RNA
Rfam family: Bacterial small subunit ribosomal RNA
Source: RNAcentral